UGGGAGAGCCAGCGGCUGUGGUGCCAGCUCCCAGUUCAGACGAGGCCAUCCUCGUGAGCAGAUGACGAAAAGAAGUAGUUCUAGACGCUUCUAAAGAAGGUUCUGUGAGGGAUGCACAGAACGCCAGUGUGUCGGCAACCCCUCCAUCUUCCCUGAUGGGCGGAGUUAGAGAAAGGAAGAAUGAGGCGCCAGGAGACUGAGACGGCAAAGGCUGUGGCUGACCGUGACUUUGCGAGGGUGCCAUGACAGGUUGUUGCUAAGGAACUGAAGACAGUGUCCACAAUUCGGCAUCAUGAUGAGGAGGAAGAAAUACUUAUCAACAGAUUGAGUAGGGGGUACAUAAGACCUCAGCUUCUCAGCUUAGCUCCCCUGCUAUUCAUAUUGCUGAUCUUGUGAUUGUGAGACCAGGGAAAAUGGGAAAAUCUACCAGCAGAUGAUCCCACAAAUGAAUGGUACACAUACAAUGAUAGAUAAGUAUAUGCCGUGAAUGAAGAGGAAAUGGAUACGUACAGAAGAGAGAGCGGUGAGCCUUUGAAAACUGGAGAUAAGAGUUUAAUUACUUAUAUAGAAAGAUACAGGAGGAUGUGAGCUGAAUUUGAUGGAAAGGAAAUAAACUUCUUGUCAAAUC
Myodes glareolus (Bank vole) is the source of this 628-nucleotide long non-coding RNA. RefSeq lists it as uncharacterized. The record is from RefSeq and is a predicted model, not a curated record. Lineage: Eukaryota; Metazoa; Chordata; Mammalia; Rodentia; Cricetidae.